UACAGAGGGUGCAAGCGUUGUUCGGAAUUAUUGGGCGUAAAGCGCGUGUAGGCGGCUUUGCAAGUCGGGUGUGAAAGCCCUCAGCUCAACUGAGGAAGUGCGCCCGAAACUGCAGAGCUUGAGUACCGGAGAGGGUGGCGGAAUUCCCCAAGUAGAGGUGAAAUUCGUAGAUAUGGGGAGGAACACCGGUGGCGAAGGCGGCUUGCUGGGCUUGGUCUGACGCUGAGGCGCGAAAGCGUGGGGAGCGAACAGG
This 253-nucleotide ribosomal RNA is filed under the name uncultured bacterium. RNAcentral's name for it is "partial 16S ribosomal RNA". It matches the Rfam family "Bacterial small subunit ribosomal RNA", at positions 524 to 776 of the family's 1533-position model. The record is from RNAcentral.